RNAcentral lists this non-coding RNA (764 nucleotides) under Scolytinae sp. BMNH 1039905. The record is from RNAcentral. Lineage: Eukaryota; Metazoa; Arthropoda; Insecta; Coleoptera; Curculionidae.
UAAAAGUUUUUAGGCUUUUAUUUAGUGUGGAAAAUUAAUUUAAAUGUAAAUUUUAGUUUGAACUAGGUUGUUUUUAGAUAAUUGCUUUGGUAAUGGAGUUGCAAUAAAUAAUUUUAUAUAUUUGGUUGUUCAAUAUAUAGUGAUUUUUCUUAAGUACGAACAAAAUUUGUGCCAGCAGUUGCGGUUAUACAGAUUGUGCAAUUUUAAAUGAUUGAAAGCAGUUAAAUUUAUAAUUAGAUUGGAGUUUGGACUUGUUAGGUGAAAUUUUAAGUCUGUGAUUGUCUAUUUGUUGAGGCUGGUAAAUUUAAUAAAAAACUAGGAUUAGAUACCCUAUUAUAUAAAUGUAUGUUUAUUUUUCUAAUUAGUAUUAGCUAUGUUCUUGAAAAUUAAUAAAGUUGGCGGUAUUUUAGUCUGUUCAGAGGAACCUGUUCUGUAAUUGAUAUUCCACGAUUUGAUUUACUUGUUUUUUUAAUUUGCGUAUGGCUGUAGGUUGAAUAUGUUUGUUGAUAUAUAAUGUUCAAUAUUUUUAUAAAAGGUGAAAUCAGGUCAAUAUGUAGUUUAUAGACAAGAAGAAAUGGGUUACUUUUAAUUUAUUAUUGGAUAUUAAGUUUUAAUAUUUAGUUGAAAGUGGAUUUGAUAGUAAAUUUAUUAAAUAGGUAAAUUGAUUUAAGCUCUAAAAUAUGUACAUAUCGCCCGUCGCUUUCACUUUAAGGUGGAAUAAGUCGUAACAUAGUAGAUGUACUGGAAAGUGUCUCUAGAAAGAU